GGUGCACCUGUGGCUUUGCGACCUUCCCACGUUUCCUUCAGGUAAAAACUCACCUGACGCUGUGGAAGUAGGUGCUUCAUUUCGUAACAAGACUGUUAAAAAAUAAGGCUAACUGUAGAUAAUCGUGUUUUAGAAGGACGACUUGCACAAUCUCCAACAGUCUUACAACGUUACACGGCCAUUCUUCACAAUGACAAUCAAGGGGGUUGCCUUUUAUGCUCCUUGCUGUCUUCUGUUUCAGACACGAAGCAGACGGCGCUCCGGUUACUGACCCUGUCACAGCCUUCCUGAAGCCACGUACAGGCUGAGGCCGGCAACCUGUGGCCCGCCUUCGACUACACCAACGACAACCGUUUCGAUGACAACGACCUCGUUCUUUUUCUCUAUCAUUAUGACCUAGACAGAAAUGGAACAAUUGAAAGGAGCGAGUUCGAGGAGAACUUUGACAUGCAGGAACCCUCGUUAGCUUUGCUGGCUCACGGUCUCUUCAUUGAGUUCGACGCCGACAAGAGCGGUCACAUCAACAUGGCGGACCUGCUGAACUUGUACAACCGCAUCGACCUGAACAAUGAUGGGUCUGUUUCCAAGCAGGAGUUCAUACAAUACUUCUCUGAGGUUUUGACUGUGGUAGCAAUUGUUCACCUUCGUAACCUUGGCUUUAGUUGAAGAGGUCAAAAAUGAAAGUCAAUGAAAAAUAAAAACUUAUUCACCAAAGA
Long non-coding RNA from Pomacea canaliculata, 716 nucleotides. RefSeq lists it as uncharacterized. NCBI's taxonomy places the organism in Eukaryota, Metazoa, Mollusca, Gastropoda, Architaenioglossa, Ampullariidae. The transcript has 5 exons. The record is from RefSeq and is a predicted model, not a curated record.